CCUACGGGAGGCAGCAGUGGGGAAUAUUGCACAAUGGGCGCAAGCCUGAUGCAGCAACGCCGCGUGAGGGACGAAGGCCUUCGGGUUGUAUACCUCUUUUAGUAGGGAAGAAGCGACUGGGUUUUCCUGGGAGUGACGGUACCUGCAGAAAAAGCACCGGCUAACUACGUGCCAGCAGCCGCGGUAAUACGUAGGGUGCAAGCGUUGUCCGGAAUUAUUGGGCGUAAAGAGCUCGUAGGCGGUUUGUCGCGUCUGCUGUGAAAACCGGAGGCUCAACCUCGGACCUGCAGUGGGUACGGGCAGACUAGAGUGCGGUAGGGGAGAUUGGAAUUCCUGGUGUAGCGGUGGAAUGCGCAGAUAUCAGGAGGAACACCAAUGGCGAAGGCAGAUCUCUGGGCCGUAACUGACGCUGAGGAGCGAAAGUAUGGGGAGCGAACAGGAUUAGAUACCCUGGUAGUCCAUGCCGUAAACGUUGGGAACUAGAUGUGGGGACCAUUCCACGGUCUCCGUGUCGCAGCUAACGCAUUAAGUUCCCCGCCUGGGGAGUACGGCCGCAAGGCUAAAACUCAAAGGAAUUGACGGGGGCCCGCACAAGCGGCGGAGCAUGCGGAUUAAUUCGAUGCAACGCGAAGAACCUUGCCAAGGCUUGACAUAUACCGGAAACGGCUGGAAACAGUCGCCCCGCAAGGUCGGUAUACAGGUGGUGCAUGGUUGUCGUCAGCUCGUGUCGUGAGAUGUUGGGUUAAGUCCCGCAACGAGCGCAACCCUCGUCCUAUGUUGCCAGCACGUAAUGGUGGGAACUCAUGGGAUACUGCCGGGGCCAACUCGGAGGAAGUUGGGGAUGACGUCAAAUCAUCAUGCCCCUUAUGUCUUGGGCUUCACGCAUGCUACAAUGGCCGGUACAAAGGGCUGCGAUACCGCAAGGUGGAGCGAAUCCCAAAAAGCCGGUCUCAGUUCGGAUUGAGGUCUGCAACUCGACCUCAUGAAGUCGGAGUCGCUAGUAAUCGCAGAUCAGCAACGCUGCGGUGAAUACGUUCCCGGGCCUUGUACACAC
This 1054-nucleotide ribosomal RNA is filed under the name uncultured Cryobacterium sp. RNAcentral's name for it is "bacterial SSU rRNA". It matches the Rfam family "Bacterial small subunit ribosomal RNA", at positions 338 to 1390 of the family's 1533-position model. Lineage: Bacteria; Bacillati; Actinomycetota; Actinomycetes; Micrococcales; Microbacteriaceae. The record is from RNAcentral.